UUGGAUAGUUAAAAUUUGAUUUUAACUCGGGUUUUGGUAAUUUCGGGAUUUGUGCUCGAUAUUGAUUGUUUUCGCUUGAGCUUGGUUCCCAUAGCAUAUUGUGAUUUAUUCAUUCUGAUUUUGGAUAGAUUCGACGCACGUGGAGGCCAUUUGAGGGGCAAGGCAUCACGAGCUAGGGAUUUUGCCGGUUCGAGGUAAGUAAUGAUUGUAAAUACUGCCCUAUGGGAUUGAAUUCCCGAAUUACACAUCGUUGUGUUACUUUGAGGUGACUUAUACGUUAGAUGACGAGCAUGGGGUAGAUUACUGCUGGGGAUUAUGACCUAGUCCAUCCCGAACGAUUAUUUGAAUGUGUAUUUGACAGUUAAUUGUUUGAUGUUAUUAUAUUUUGGGUUGUAUGCCAUGUUUGGGGCCUCGUGCCGACUUGUUAAGAACCUUUGGGGAAUUUUUACUAUAUUUCCUCACUCUAUUUUGUUUGAAAGCAUAUCCUCAAUCAUAACGUGGAUAACAUAACAUUGAAUGAAUUCUGAUACUAUUUGAAGAAUAUAUUGUUUAGUCCUAAAUCAAUUUUAAAAGAUAGAUGAGGUUGAAUAAAGGCUACGAUUUAUUUUCAUAACAUAGUAAAACUAGUAGCGCUCCUGAUCC
Molecule: long non-coding RNA, 642 nt
Filed under: Nicotiana benthamiana
Lineage: Eukaryota; Viridiplantae; Streptophyta; Magnoliopsida; Solanales; Solanaceae
Description: long non-coding RNA (NBEN_LNC016334)
Source: RNAcentral